GUGAGGAAUUUUCCGCAAUGGGCGAAAGCCUGACGGAGCAAUGCCGCGUGAAGGAUGAAGGCCUAUGGGUUGUAAACUUCUUUUCUCAGAAAAGAAUUAUGACGGUAUCUGAGGAAUAAGCAUCGGCUAACUCUGUGCCAGCAGCCGCGGUAAGACAGAGGAUGCAAGCGUUAUCCGGAAUGAUUGGGCGUAAAGCGUCUGUAGGUUGUUUAAAAAGUAUUCUGUCAAAGAUUAGGGCUUAACCCUAGAUAGGCAGAAUAAACUUUUAAGCUAGAGUUUGGUAGAGGCAGAGGGAAUUCCCGGUGGAGCGGUGAAAUGCGUAGAUAUCGGGAGGAACACCAAAGGCGAAGGCACUCUGCUGGGCCAAUACUAACACUGAGAGACGAAAGCGAGGGGAGCAAAUGGGAUUAGAUACCCUGGUUCC
This 424-nucleotide ribosomal RNA is filed under the name uncultured bacterium. RNAcentral describes it as "partial 16S ribosomal RNA". It matches the Rfam family "Bacterial small subunit ribosomal RNA", at positions 354 to 794 of the family's 1533-position model. The record is from RNAcentral.